Molecule: ribosomal RNA, 254 nt
Filed under: uncultured bacterium
Lineage: Bacteria
Description: partial 16S ribosomal RNA
Rfam family: Bacterial small subunit ribosomal RNA
Source: RNAcentral
GACAGAGGGUGCGAACGUUGUCCGGAAUCAUUGGGCGUAAAGCGCGUGUAGGCGGUUCGGUAAGUCCGCUGUGAAAGUCGGGGGGCUCAACCCUCGGAUGCCGGUGGAUACUGUCGGGCUUGAGUACGGAAGAGGCGAGUGGAAUUCCUGGUGUAGCGGUGAAAUGCGCAGAUAUCAGGAGGAACACCAAUUGCGAAGGCAGCUCGCUGGGACGUUACUGACGCUGAGACGCGAAAGCGUGGGGAGCAAACAGG